This is an RNA transcript of Chelmon rostratus (copperband butterflyfish), 5038 nucleotides long. It is a transcript of the gene named ovochymase 1, with no coding region annotated. The transcript has 13 exons. The record is from RefSeq and is a predicted model, not a curated record. Lineage: Eukaryota; Metazoa; Chordata; Actinopteri; Chaetodontiformes; Chaetodontidae.
AUGACGUCUUGUUUGAGGCACCUGAGAGCGAACUGAGUAGAACCAGACCUGAGUUCAGUUUGUGGAGGAGAGAGACAGUCCAGGUGUUUGUAAUCAGGCAGGUGUGACAGGUGACUCAUCAAACAGUUCAGUGUCAGUGAAUGAGAGUGUUCUGAGCCCCAGUGAGACGUGAUGCUGUCUGUGGUUUGUCUCCUGUCAGUGUGUCUGUUUACCUGUCGCACAGGUGAGAAACUCUUGAAACUGAUUCGCUCUUUGGCUGUUUGUUCGUGUCAAACUGUGUUUUGUGUUUGUGCAGCUGAAUCCAGUCAGAAACCAUCAAACACAUCAGCUGACAACAACACGGCUGCUGCUCCGCUGCAGCUCCAGGCUCCAGAUUCAAAGGUGAAUCAGAUCCAGAAUCAGCCGAAUGUGACUUCAAAUGAAACUCUGCAGGAACACGAUGGUUCGUCUGGACGCUUUGGAUCCAGCGACCUGUCGGGGGUGCGGUCCUUCAUUCCAGAGCAGGAAAUGGAGUCCAGGAUCAUCGGGGGUCAGGAGGCCUGGGCCCACUCGUGGCCCUGGCAGGUGUCUCUACAAUUUGCCUCCAUGCCGGCCUGCGGAGGGGCCGUCAUCAACCCGCUGUGGGUCAUCUCUGCUGCGCACUGCUUCAAAAGGUACAAUAAAGCUUCUUUCUGGACGGUUCUGGCUGGAAAACACGACCUGGAUAAUCCUCAUGAACCUGGACAACAAGUGGUUGGCGUCUCCGUGAUCAUCAGUCACCACGGCUACAACACGCGGACCAAAGCGGGCGACAUGGCUUUGCUGAAGCUGCAGCAGCCUCUGGUCUUCGGCCGAUUCGUCAGACCCAUCGACGUCUGGAUGACCCCGCUGCCUCCCUUCAGGAACUGCACCAUCACCGGCUGGGGCUCCACACGAGAGAAUGGUCCUCGAGUCCACAGACUCCAAGAAGUGAAUGUGACCAUCCUGCCCCCUGGUGUCUGUAACCAGUACUACCACGGAAGGAUCCGACCCUCCAUGUUCUGUGCUGGGAAGGACGGAGGAGGGGUCGACGCCUGCCAGGGGGACUCUGGAGGUCCUCUGUCCUGCUUCACUGGCAGCAGGUAUAAGCUGGCAGGUUUGGUAAGUUGGGGAGUCGGUUGUGGACGAGCCAGAAGACCGGGAGUCUACACCAAAGUCCAGCAACACACUCAGUGGAUCUCUAACAUCAUGAGUAAGUUUCACAGAUCGUCCACCUACCUGUUACAGGUGUGUUCUACUCUGAAGAGCUCCUGGUCUGUUUCAUUCACAGGUGAUCAGAGUAUCGUGUCUGCAGAUGACGUCACCGCUGAGGAGGACAGGUGUGGUAAGCAGCAGAGCUCCGGCUGUGAGAGAGCUCCAGGCCUCGCUCAUCUGUCAGUGUCCCGGGAUAAUGAGGUGUCUGUGGGGAACGUGACAGAGUCCUGCCCCUUCUUCUGGCCCUGGCAGGUCAGCCUGCAGUCCAACGGACGCCACUACUGCAGCGGGUCGCUCAUUCACCGCCGCUGGGUCGUCACGGCUCAACACUGCAGCGUCAGAGCUAAAGAGGACGUGGUCGUUCUGGGAGUUCAUGACCUCCGCUUCUCAUCAGCUCAAACCGUCCCGGUGGAUGAGGUCUUCAACCUGCCGCAGGACGGCAACUUCCCCCCCAAGUCUGACCUGACGCUGCUGCGCCUCAGCGUGCCGGCCAGAUUCAGCUCUAAUGUGGCUCCAGUUUGUGUCCCCGAUGAGGAAGAGGAGCUCGAUGACAGCUGGUCUUGCGUCACAACCGGCUGGGGAGCGACAAAAGCAACAGUGGACCUAGAUCCAGACCGGCUGCACCACGUCGGACUGACUCUGGUGAAUCAGACAACCUGCAGGGACAAGUGGGGAGGAGGACUCAUCAGUGAAUCCCACAUCUGUUCACAUCCUGCAGGUUCCCCCUCCUGCAUGGGCGACUCUGGAGCGCCGCUGCUGUGUCGGAAGCGGGGGGCCUACUUCCUGUUUGGUGUGGUCACGUGGGGCAGCGGGCGGUGUGAUGGAGACAAACCGGCCAUCUUCUCGAGGAUAUCGGAUUAUGAGUCGUGGAUCACUGAGGUGACAGAAGACGUCUGAAUGUCUCCGUCACAAAAUAAACUCAAUUAACUGGAAGCUGUUGGUCUGCAGAGCUGUUUGAACUGCGGGGGGGGGGCUGUUGGCUUGAUGUAAGGAUGGAACUCAGGUGUGAAAAGGAAAGUGAGCCUUGAGUUCAGAGCGUUUGGGUGAAAUGUGACCGUGUUUAAUGGCUUUGUUUCUGGCUGUUUGGGCGGGGGGGUUUGCCAAAAACAGCCCGUAUAACUCAUCCUACAGACACAACCACUCAACACACUCCAGUUAUCAGCGUCUGAAGUUUGAUUCAACAUGAAACGUCCUCUUCAGCUUCUCUUCUUCACUUUUGAUGAGAAAAACACGAGAAACAUCUUCAGCAGUUUGUUGUUUUAAUCAACAUUUAAGAACAACAGUUAAAACUUCUAAAAUGCUUGUUUGAAUGGGGGGGGGGGGGGAUGAGUCUCCAGUCUGUCCUUUCAUGUCUCCACACUGAAACGUCAGUUUGUAGUUCCAGACUUCGUUGGUGGAUUGAAAACACGUCGGCUUUUACAGAAGAUCUUGAGAUGUCAGAUUUUAGAGGUCGACCUGAAAGCAUCGUUGGUGUCGGCUUUGAGUGGGGGCGGGCGGUUCAGGACUGACGAUGAUCCUCUAUCACCCUCCUGGUUCAGUUCUCGGAAAGACGAAGCAGAGACGGCUGCUGUCUUUGAUCGGUCUGAGGCUUCGAGAUAUGAAACCAGCAGUUUCUCUCUCAGCUGUCCUGCAGCAGGUCGUAGGACCCUCCGGUCACCACCUCGUGUUUGUCCUCCGCCUGAGGACACAGAAAGUCUCCGGUCAACGCUACUGUACUGCUUUCAAAGUGAUGUCUCAUAUUAAAAACUUGAAGUGGUCUAAAGUUGUAAAGACAUGAAUUCAGACUAAAACAGAAGCUGUGAAGCAACAUUUUGAUCUAAACUGUGAACUGAGCUGAUCGCCGGUCUGUCGCACUGACAUCAGGACUCACUGAGCCGUCACAUGUGUUGGACUCAGCAGGUUCUGGACCUGCUUCAUAAACCGGGUUACAGAUGCUGCGACCGCCGCCUGCAGGCGGAGCCUCUUCCUCUCCGUCAUCCUCCUGUCAAAGUGAAGGCGAAGGUCGACACUAAUGUUACCACACAGUACAAGAAACAUCAUAAUACAUCAUUCACAGUACGCAGUACUGUCCUGUCAUGGGUUGAGAUACACGUUUUGUUUUAUACUCACAAUAUGAACAAUGUACUAACAGCAAUAAAGCUGUGGAACACUACCACCACCUACAGGUAUCAGGAAGCAGCUCACUGAAUAUUUUCACAAUAAGAGCUAAAAAAUGUGUGUAGUCAAAGUACAGGAAUAUGAGCCAAACAUCCAUCAGGGCCCAGCAGGAAAGUUCCAGGAGGAAAAAGUUAAUCGUCCGGGGAUCAGUUCAACCUGAGCUCUCAUCACAACUUCACUCUGUAGAAAAUCUGAACUUUGUGCAUGAGAUGAAACUGAAACUAAAAAUCACCAGAGGCAGCACACUGACCUUGAAGUAGUGGAACUGGAAGGGUUUAGUGUUGUGGGAGUAGAAGUGGUAUCCAACAAAGAUGAUUCCUGCCACCAGAACAAUCAGCAGCACCACUCCAACUCCAGCCCCUGCCUUAUGUGCCACAUGCAUCUGUGCAACCAAUCACAGACAAGGUCAGAGGUCACAUGGACAAACUUGUAAAUACUAUUAGUGAUAGCAUGUGUGGAAUUAUCACUCACCUGUUGGCGAGGAGGCGGGGCUUUCAGCGGUCCCUGGAGAACAUGUAUGAUCCCGUUUGAAGCCAGGAUGUCCGAGUCAGUGACGAAGCGGUUGUUGAUGUAACGAGACGACUGAAGACAUGAAAAAGAUUUCAACAUGUGAGAACCAUGAACUACAGAAGGACCUGAACUCCACAGAACCCCGUCUGUUUUCUCAGUGGAGACUCGCUGCUGCUUUAAGAGCAGAUUCAGGCUAAACUGAAUAAUGUCGUAGGCCAGUCUGCUUUGAUUGACAGGAGUCUCAGCCAAUCACAGUCUGCUGUCGUGUUUCAAACGUUUUGCUCAAAUCAGUAUUUUCUGGCUUCAAUAACUGACACUUUGUAUGACGUCGAGCACUGAACACAAAGCAGGUGAUCACAAUGUGCAACGAGCUGCUCGAGCUCUUCAUUCAUGAAACGUUUGCCUGUGAUGUGCUGACAUACACACUGCAGGUAAAGAGAGAGCACAUGCAUCAGACUUGUACCAGUAAUAUCUGACCACAUAUUAAACUGUAUCUGCAGUCGUGAGUGUGAAAAACUGUCAAGUCCUGAAGAUGAAUUGUUUUUGAUCCGAUAUUUGUAAUUCCUGACCGAAAUGACGAGACAGCGUCAGUAAUAAAUCUGACCAGAGCCGACGGGUCGAGCAGGUCAGCGACUCCGAGGACGGUCAGGCUGCCGACGCGAGUUCGGAUCCUGCUGCCGUUCUUCAGCUGGCUGACGGGAAGAGCCUGACCCUCCGACAGGUGGAACUCCAUGUCCCGCUGAGACAGUGUCUGCAGGGACACACGGACAAGUACGUCCAGUGAAUGUGCUUCACACCAUCGUUCCUCCUCUUCCUCUCUCACCCUUCAUCCGGAAGCAGAAAGUGUCCCAGGUCUCGCUCAGGUUUUUACGGGUGCCGUAGUCCACGAUACCCACGUGUCCAAAGCCACACUGGGGACUGGAAUAGGUGGUAGGGUACGCCACCCGGGCCUGGUCUAUCCAGCCAGCAGCACACAUGUUCAGCCCGCCCUACAGAGACCAGCAGGACCAGCAGACACAAGCCUGAGUCCAGAAACCAGCGCAUUGAUGGGGACUAUUUUCAGCAGCAGAUGAAUCCACAUUUGGUGCUGCAGUGAGUGUGUGUGGCAGCAGGAUGGUGUGUGUGUGUGUGUGUGUGAGAAUAAACUCUGGAGGAGGAG